Molecule: ribosomal RNA, 735 nt
Filed under: uncultured archaeon
Lineage: Archaea
Description: bacterial SSU rRNA
Rfam family: Archaeal small subunit ribosomal RNA
Source: RNAcentral
GCCAUGCUAGUCGCACGGGUUUAGACCCGUGGCAAAUAGCUCAGUAACACGUGGCCAAACUACCCUGUGGACAGGGAUAACCUCGGGAAACUGAGGCUAAUCCCCGAUACAGCUCUCAUGCUGGAGUGCAGAGAGCUGGAAACGUUCUGGCGCCACAGGAUGUGGCUGCGGCCGAUUAGGUAGACGGUGGGGUAACGGCCCACCGUGCCUAUAAUCGGUACGGGUCAUGAGAGUGAGAACCCGGAGACGGUAUCUGAGACAAGAUACCGGGCCCUACGGGGCGCAGCAGGCGCGAAACCUUUACACUGCACGACAGUGCGAUAAGGGGACUCCGAGUGCGAGGGCAUACAGUCCUCGCUUUUCUGCACCGUAAGGUGGUACAGGAACAAGUGCUGGGCAAGACCGGUGCCAGCCGCCGCGGUAAUACCGGCAGCACGAGUGAUGGCCGAUUUUAUUGGGCCUAAAGCGACCGUAGCCGGCCAGACAAGUCCGUUGGGAAAUCGACGUGCCUAACACGUCGGCGUCCAGCGGAAACUGUCUGGCUUGGGGCCGGAAGACUCGAGGGGUACGUCCGGGGUAGGAGUGAAAUCCUGUAAUCCUGGACGGACCGCCGGUGGCGAAAGCGCCUCGAGAGGACGGACCCGACGGUCAGGGACGAAAGCUAGGGUCUCGAGCCGGAUUAGAUACCCGGGUAGUCCUAGCCGUAAACGAUGCUCGCUAGGUGUGGCGCAGGCU